GCCCGGGUGGCUCAGUUGGUUGAGCAUCUGACUUUGGCUCAGGUCAUGAUCUCACAGCUCGUGAGUUCAAGCCUCACCUCAGGUU
Molecule: transfer RNA, 85 nt
Filed under: Felis catus (domestic cat)
Lineage: Eukaryota; Metazoa; Chordata; Mammalia; Carnivora; Felidae
Rfam family: tRNA
About the family: Transfer RNA (tRNA) molecules are approximately 80 nucleotides in length.
Source: Rfam by way of RNAcentral